UACGGGGGGGGCUAGCGUUAUUCGGGAUCAUUGGGCGUAAAGGGCGCGUAGGCGGCGCGGUAAGUCAAAGGUGAAAUCCCUCGGCUCAACUGAGGAACUGCCUUUGAAACUGCCGUGCUUGAGUCCGGGAGGGGGUAGCGGAAUUCCCAGUGUAGCGGUGAAAUGCGUAGAUAUUGGGAGGAACACCAGUGGCGAAGGCGGCUACCUGGACCGGUACUGACGCUGAUGCGCGAAAGCGUGGGGAGCAAACAGG
Molecule: ribosomal RNA, 253 nt
Filed under: uncultured bacterium
Lineage: Bacteria
Description: partial 16S ribosomal RNA
Rfam family: Bacterial small subunit ribosomal RNA
Source: RNAcentral